CCCUUAGAUGUUCUGGGCCGCACGCGUGCUACACUGAGUAAAUCAAUGGGUAAGGGAACACGAAAGUGCAACCUAAUCUUGAAAUUUGCUCGUGAUGGGGAUCGACGGUUGCAAUUUUCCGUCGUGAACGAGGAAUACCUUGUAGGCGCGUGUCAUCAUCACGCGCCGAAUACGUCCCUGCCCUUUGUACACACCGCCCGUCGCUCCUACCGAUUGAAUGUUCCGGUGAGCUCUUCGGACUGCGCGGUCUGCAGUUUCUGCGUUCCGUGCGGAAAGUUGUGCAAACCUUAACAUUUAGAGGAAGGAGAAGUCGUAACA
This 318-nucleotide ribosomal RNA is filed under the name uncultured eukaryote. RNAcentral describes it as "partial 18S ribosomal RNA". It matches the Rfam family "Eukaryotic small subunit ribosomal RNA", at positions 1470 to 1796 of the family's 1831-position model. The record is from RNAcentral.